GCUCUGGAGGCCGUUGCCAGCAACGUGUCUCCCUAACAUUUUACCUUUGCGCUGGAAUGGGUGGAUACAGGAAGGUUGAAGCAAAUUUAGGUUUGGCUAGAGCCCUGUCAAGUCCCCCUCUAACGCUGCCACUCAUCUCGGUGAGAGUAACAGUCCUCAGCUGUCCUACCGCUCAAUCUCAGGACAGAGCUGAAGUGAUUCUCCACCAGUUCUCCCUUGCAGGAAACACAACCCAAGAACAUCAAGCGAGUGGCAGGGAAUGUAAAGGUCUCCCCUAACCAGAAUGCUCACAUUCGCUGAAGCAAGGUAGAGAGCAAUGACCAGGAACGUGGAAAGUGAUGUGGAAAGAAGAGGGAUGAGGACUGAGUUUCUCUGGUUACACGCCUCUGGAAAGUUGGUUGUCUAGAUUGCUCAGGUCCAUUUCUUCCAGAUCCUCUUCCUGGGGCUGAGCCUCUUGCCCUGCUCCGCUCCACUGGCCUGGAGGAGUCUUCUGCAAGCACUCGAAAUAACCCAAGAAAGAGUCUUCACUUCACAAAUCUCCACUGAUGCGUGAGCACUUGCUCUCCCUGCCUCCCGCUACCAUCUGCUCUACAUCACCCCCAGUGGACGAACAGUGACGAACAGAAAUGGAUUCAGCACCUAUGGAUCAACAGGCUGGUUACACCCAUUUCCGCAUCACUUUAGUACCACAGUAGGAGUCUCUUGGACUACUCCCACAUCUCCUCUCUUGCAGGCUUUUGAGACCAAGCCUGUUGGGAUGCACACCUGCCCAGAUGUGACCAAGCUGGCUGAGAGUCACUGCUGUCUGCUGAGUUGGGGUGCAGGGCUCCGUCCGGGU
This is a long non-coding RNA of Mauremys mutica (yellowpond turtle), 838 nucleotides long. RefSeq lists it as uncharacterized. The transcript has 3 exons. NCBI's taxonomy places the organism in Eukaryota, Metazoa, Chordata, Testudines, Geoemydidae. The record is from RefSeq and is a predicted model, not a curated record.